RNAcentral lists this ribosomal RNA (486 nucleotides) under Porphyromonas cangingivalis. RNAcentral describes it as "bacterial SSU rRNA". It matches the Rfam family "Bacterial small subunit ribosomal RNA", at positions 9 to 487 of the family's 1533-position model. Lineage: Bacteria; Pseudomonadati; Bacteroidota; Bacteroidia; Bacteroidales; Porphyromonadaceae. The record is from RNAcentral.
GAGUUUGAUUCUGGCUCAGGAUGAACGCUAGCGAUAGGCUUAACACAUGCAAGUCGAGGGGCAUCACGGGAUUAGCUUGCUAAUCUUGGUGGCGACCGGCGUAAGGGUGCGUAACGCGUAUGCAACUUGCCUGUCAGUGGGGAAUAACCCGGAGAAAUCCGGACUAAUACCGCAUACACUUUGGUUUCCGCAUGGAGACUUUAGGAAAGAUUUAUUGCUGACAGAUAGGCAUGCGUUCCAUUAGAUAGUUGGUGAGGUAACGGCUCACCAAGUCAACGAUGGAUAGGGGAGCUGAGAGGCUUAUCCCCCACACUGGAACUGAGACACGGUCCAGACUCCUACGGGAGGCAGCAGUGAGGAAUAUUGGUCAAUGGGCGAGAGCCUGAACCAGCCAAGUCGCGUGAAGGAAGACGGUCCUAUGGAUUGUAAACUUCUUUAGUAGGUGAGUACAAGCAGUUACGUGUAGCUUAGCAAGUACCUAGAUAU